Molecule: non-coding RNA, 969 nt
Organism: Camellia sinensis
Lineage: Eukaryota; Viridiplantae; Streptophyta; Magnoliopsida; Ericales; Theaceae
Source: RefSeq, a predicted model, not a curated record
AGUCAUUGUACAACCCAUUGUUAUUUAAAUCCAAUCUAUUUAUAGCACUAUUAAAUGAGUUAUUUCUUCACUGCAGGUCUGUGGUGUUUCAACCUCUUCAACAAUGUUAGAUUUUAUUUUAAUUCAAAUCAUGGACAACAUUUAUAGUUUUGGUUAAGUAUGUUUAGUUUAUAGUUUAUGAAUCGAGGCUUAAUUUCUUGCUUAUUAUUUAUAAUUUUUCUCAUAAUUAAAUGUUUUUGUAUUAUUCUUUACAGGUGGAUGAUAUGUUAGAGGAAACAGUAAUAUUAAAUCUCUAUACUCAUUUUUUAUUUAAUCUACAUUCCUUAAUAUAAUUUUUCUUUUACCUUUCAAAUGCAUUUCUAUAUAUACACAGGUUCAGUUUCUUCAAAAUAGAAAUGUCAGUGCUGUGCUCUAUAAUGAACGUGACUUCAAUGUCCUUUGUGUUUGUGGGGUAAGCCCACUAAUCAAAUUUAUUUGUUUCUCAUAUUUUUUCUCAAAGGCAAUGGUAAGGGCAAAGGAAAAUGAGAAGCUUAAAGGAAAAAGAAAGGAAAACUACUCAAUAAAGGGACUAAAAAAAUACACAAGUGGAUUGGGUUGAAAAAGCUAUGGAGCUCAAGAGGAUAAAUAAGACUACAUUACUCUGAUGGAAUAGAAACAAGAUUGUUUUGCAUGCUCCUCACUGGAAAAAGUACACAGAAGUUGAUACAUGGACAUUUCAAAAUGUGAUGGAGAACAAGUUUGAAGGCGCCCAAGCACUUUAGAUGCGUCCAAGUACUUUUUCUAUAGGCGUCCAAGUUUUUGUAGAGGCGCCCAAGUACUUUUUGUUGAGGCGUCCAAGUUGGAAGACAUUAUAUGGCAUACAUUUUGUAAAGCUUGACGUUAACCAAUUUUGUAAAGCUUCAUAUUGAUAUAUACUUCAAUGGAUUUCUAAUAUUUUUGUAAAGUCUAUUAUCAAUGUAAAAGAUUGGA